UUGCCCCAAUAACCCACCCUUGGGUUAGCCCCUUGGAAGUUGGUACAGGGAACUUGCUUGCCCUAUUUGUUGUGUCUCUUAAAUUCUGGUGGAGAACUAGAUAUUCUUGUCAAAAGUUCUCUUUCUAAGAAUAGGACUAAAUAGAAUUUCAAGAAUGUGUUAGAAAGACCAUGUUUUUUAUUCUAAAAUGUGAGAAAUGUCAAGAAAAGUACUAGAAAUACAACCGUAAAUUUAAAAUCUACAAAGCUACAAAUAUAUGAAAAAGCUAAAAAUCAGCCUUCAGGCUGUAGUUUGCUCCACAGUUCAAGUUAUGUCAGCUCAGGCGAAGCACUGGCCCAGGCAUUCAGGGCUAUAUGCUUCUCUUCCAGGUAGCUGACCAAUGCUCAGUAAAGGUAUGUGAUUUCCUCACCUGAUCUGGGUAGCAGGUACACCUCUUACAGGAUAGUGUUCCUCUCCCCCAUAAGGGGGAAUGACAGCAAAUGGUCAGGAAUGUGGUAGACCUUAUUUUCAAAGAAGCUUGAGAGCUGGGGAUGGAAGAGUUUUCCACUCUCUCUUGCUUUAGCCUUUUCAGUCAUGUUCUUUGGCUAGAACAGGGUGAAACUUUGUUGCAGAUGAUGUUAAGAGGUUGCUGGUGUUGCACAGGACUCCCUAAUUCUUUAACAUACUUAGAUGUCUCCUGACCUUUGUGAAUAUUGAGAAACCACCCUUUAUAAGGGCUUUAACAUUUCACAGCUUUUAUAAAUAGUUGCAAGAUGCUGAACUUAGGGGGAUACCAACAGCAGGAUGGGAAGCUGUGUGCCCGUGCUGUGCGCUGCUGCUGGAAAUGAGCCUCUAAUCCAAAUGGCUGUGACCUGGAUAUCAAAGAAAGAAAAUUAGAGGUUUGUUGCCAAGAAACUGGGUGUCCUUGGCAUCUAGCAAAGCAGAAACAGUUUUAAUUAUCUAAUUAAAGUGGGGCAUCCUGUUAUUUUAUGUCAUUUAGAAAGCCAGUUGUGAAUGUUGUCCUGUUUUUCUCUUAGUACUCAGUAGAAAGGGUCCCUGACAUGCACAGAUAGCUGUGAUGAGUCUACAUAUCAAAACAAAUAUGUUAACAAAAGCACCAGGGUGGUGACCACUGACUUUGUGCACAUAUUGUUAGUUCUGUGUAGGUUUUGCUUCAUAAUUUUUGCAAGUUGCAAGUAAUCAAAACCUGUUCUGUAGGACACUAGUGUUUGGAAACUUAUUUUUUUCAGUGCUCUACUUUGUCCUACAUUUUAGUUCUUUGGGGUGGUUUUCAUUGACUUUGAAAUCUAACUUGGCAAAGUUUAAUGGCACUCACUGUUGUGCUUGUUUCUCUUCUGGUGUGCUUUUCCUUUGAUAUGCUCUGAUAAAUAUUUGCUGUGGGACAGAUUUCAAUCUCAGUUAUGUCACUAUAAAUGAAAAGCAAAAAGCAUGGUCACUGAAGUCUGUGAUUAUGCUAAAGGAAGUGAAAUCAGUCAUGGGCUCUCCUGUCCAAAGUCAGUAGCUCUGUACUGAAACAGCCUUUGCUAAUGACGGAGAGAAGAGAGAGGACAGGGAGUCUGCUGCAGGGAGUCACUGCCUCAAACAGGACUCUGGUCUCUGGCAGUUUCAGGUUAAAGAUGAUGCCCAGGGAAAUGGUUAAAUAUGCAUACUGGGAAAUAAAUAAUGUCAAAUGAUUCACAUGAAAGAAUCUUAAGAGCACACAGGGUGAGCAAAGAGUCAUUUUGUUUUAGACGUGUAAACCACAAAGGAUGGGAAUUUCAUUUUCCUUUCCACUGCACUCCUUACACUUGGUUUACUGGGGGCAUGUAGAUGCCCUGCAACCUCUGUGUAAUUGAGUUUUGCCAGACCUGGUCACAUGUGCUAUAAUUUCAAUUAUUUUUCUAAAUUCACAUUUUUUAAAUUCUUGCCUUUUGGCCUUUAAAAUUCUCCUUGCCUGGAAUGAGGCUGUUUUCUUGUUGUUCCUCCCUAAGUUCUUUUCCGCUGAGAGAGGAUGGGUUACGAUGCGGUCUGCGUGGGCUUUAGCCCUCCAGCCCUGCACUUUUGACCCUUUCCUGCUAGGGCUUUACUACAACUUAAGCUAUGUAAAUGCACAGUAGCAUGCAGCUUAUUAAAUACUCAGCCUCUUCCAGACUUAAUGGCUCUGCCGGGUCCUGCCUGCUUAGCAGCAUAGCAGGAUGUGUGCUUAGCAACCCGGCUGCCGUGAGUGCAUCGCCCCCAUGCCCUGCCUUCUCCGCUGCCUCACCACUGAACACAGCAAAUAUUUCCAGCUUUUUCUGGAACAAAACCUUGCCUAGGUUCAGGCAUAACUACCACCUGCCAGCCACAGCCUGUGUAUUUUUACAGCAUCAUGAGGGCUGACUAUGACAGGAGACAAAACCCUAGGCUGUUAGAGGUGCUCGACCCACUUCUGCAAGUAGUAAUGGCUGUAAAACAAAUAUACAUACCAGUAAAUGUACACCUGAUGGUUUUAGCACUUGCUUUUCCUUAGAAAUGCCAAAAUUUUAAAAACUCAUUGUUUCAUUCUGAGAUCCUCAGACACAAGUAUAGCUCAGCUAAGCCUCCAGUAAGAUGAUCACUCAGAAAUUACUAUAUUGGGAGAACUGAGUUGUACGUUUUCAAGUAUUUUAAUCCAGGAGAAAUCACAACUAUUUCCUAGUCUUAAUGCCUAAAUAAACAGGCUGUAGGUCCUUCUCUCUGUUAUUUCUGCAUUAAGCAAAUAACUUCUGUUGAGGUGUGGUCUACUGUGGCCAUGGUCAGAAUGAAAAUGAGGAUGCUCUCUGGGAGAAGACAUCUGCAAAAGGAGGGGGGAAAUGAUGGUAUGAUGCCAGAUGCCACUGUACCUUCUGGACUGCCACCAGGCUGUGCUUCUACCUUCGAUGGGGCAAGGGCAUCCGCUAGAAAACAGACUUGAAUUUUCAAAUCCAAAGAUACUUGGUAUUUUCUCAGAGACAAACCUCCAGAAGUACUGCAUGCAAUGGUAACAUUUAUAUAACAAUUCAAAGUAUACAGAAGCACAGCAAUCUGCAAAGCAAUUCAGUGGAGUUUAUUAUAUUUGAACUGUUUUAUCUCUAGCGAGCAUGCAGAGAGAUUAAGCAACUACUCUGGAGCUACCAAAUGCAUCUGAGGUAGGGCCAAGAUUAGAAUAUUGAUUUCUGGCUUCCUGAGUCCCAGGCUCAGUUCACUACAUUAUGUUGUCUUUACAGAUAACAUUUAGACAAAUAGAUCUUGACAUAUCAGAAGCUCAGUAGCCUCUCAGUAAAUUGAGCAGGGCUUUAGUUGUUCAGUUCCUGUGAUCUGUGCAUGCCUCACACUUGGUCCCAGUAAUGUCAGUAGCUAUUGUAUAUUUACAGUGAAGCCCACUUGUAUCCUGAGGCAUACUAGACUUUUUUUUCUCAGAGUAGGAAUAAACUUAAUUAUGAUACAUUUUCCUCAGAUUGAGAUUUACACAAUGUCAGAUUGAGAUUUCCACAAAGAAAAAAAAAUUCAAAGAAAUGUUGCUUCACUCCUCUUUACAAAAAUCCCCAUAUUUGUUGAGACUUUCAGUCCUGACCAGGGGUAGCUUGUCACUCUUUCUAAUUUCUUGUGUAAAAGUCAGAAAAAUGGAAAAAGUUCUACAUACCCAAAGUUCAAAUCCAAGUACUUUUGAAAUCACCACAUACCAAGCAUAUUCAGUUCCUGAUAUACAAUUGCCAAAGAAAAGGCAACUAUGUACUUGAAAGCUGAAAUACAUUCUACAAAGAGAAUAACACAGGUAUAUUGGUAUUAGAAAAUUUCUGGAUAUCCACAGAGGUGUAAGAAUAUUGCCAUCAGUACAGCCCUGGAAAACUUCCAAACUACACCUGAGCUUGCUGAGGUGUAGCCCACAACCUUUUUUUUUCCAUUUCCAAACUCCAGGUAUCCCAUCUGCAGCUAACAAAGGACGCUGCUUACUCUCACAAAGCCUACUUGAAGUUUGACAGUCCUACAAAACCUGUACUGGUGUUUCAAACACAUCAAGCUGUCUAACAGUCUUCUCCACCCCUCUUUGUUACUUGAUGCAGCAGCACAAUGUCAUUUGUCAGAGCACCAAAACUGAAGACAUGCUGAAUAUGUGAAUACCAAGGAAGUGGUUUCCUUAGCAAUAACAGGCAUGUGAAAGUCAAAACUUCCUUUCCUCCUCGUGUGACCUUUUUCAAAGCAAUUCAGCCUGGGGACAAUGGGAGUGAAUUCCAAACACCCGCAGUGUUCCUGCAUGGUUCGGCAAGGGUCGCUAAAUGGCAAAUUUAUCUUAUGUAUUUAUGAAGGUAAAAUUAUAUUUCUCUUUAGACAUUCUUCUCUAGGGAUUCUGCGUGGUUUUGUACAGGAAGGUGCUUCUUGAAAGCAGAAUUACCUAAUGCCACCUAAACAAAUAUAUAGAAUGCAAGUAAUUUUCUUGCCAUUGUGGAACAAAAUUUUGUUGUGCAUAAAAUGCAAAGUCCUUUUAGUUGUCAGGAAAUAAGAGCAUGGAACUUCUACCUGGCUUAUUUUGAUAGCUGGACUUCUCUGAUGACAUCUUGUCCAUUUCAUUUAAGGUGAAAAUCAAGACUCCUAAGGAAAAAAGAGAAAGGGAGAUGAUUUAUGAAGGCAAAUAAGAGGAAGAUGACAUUAAUUUCACCCAUCCUGCACACAAGAGCAGUAUCUCUGUUGCUGUUCUUAUCGUAUUUAGCACAGCCUUUUCUCAUGCCUAAGGAGACAGCAGUGAUAGCCAGAGUGCUUGCACAAAACUGCCUGUCCAAGAAUCAUGAGGUAUUUUCUAAAAGUAGCUACUAAAUUCAAACCUGAUCUGUCUACUGAGUUAGGGAACUAUUCUCUCAUUUUUUUGAGCUGCAGAGGUGACAUGGCAGGUAGUUGUCAGAAGAAAAUUCUUGUUGGAGCUGGAAGUGGUCACUCAGCAUACUUUCUGUAUUAUAAUGUGUGACAGCCUAUCCUGGAGUUCAGAAAGUCAAGGGCAGUUCUGGUAUUAGAGUUCUCCCCAGAUUCAGUAUUGCUGGACCACCCAUACACAUCCUGUUGUCUUGCUGCCCACUGAUGGGGUCUGUAUUCAAGUCCCUGGUGAUUCACAGACAAGGAUUUAGGCCUCAAGGACUACUGACUCUCACCUCACUUUUAGUCACGAAUGCCGUGGUUUGCUUGGGUUUUCUCCACCACUUUCAGCCUUUGGUUUUCAACUCUAGAGCAUAAGUUUUCGGAAAUGAACAAUGCAAUGUGAGUAGCUGAGUUUGGAGCUGGUCCCAUCAGGCAGGAGAAGUAAUUUGACAGGAGACAGUUCCUCUGCAGCUUUCUGUGAAUCUGAGAAAGAUGUGCUGUGGAUUUAGAGCCUUAAUGUCUGAAGGAAAACAGGCAAGCCAUCUGCUCCCACAGGUGCUGGCACAUCGGUGCUUUGUUCUGGUUCCUCCAAGGCAAAAUGUAUUGUCUAGCCAAGUAUUCAUGUCCAACAGAGUGUGUAAGUACCUGUGGUGAGUUGUUGUAUGAAAUCCCAAUCCACCCUUGGCAAAAUAUCAUACCAAACGUGCUUAUGUUUAAUGCCAGGAGCUAUUCAACCGCUCUGCAAUAUUCCUGUGGUUUCUGAAGGUGGACUGUUAUGAGGAUUCUUGAGGAAGGACGCAAGUGCACUCUUCUCUGUACAUAGCAGGAGCCUCUGUCACUGAUUCAGUGCCCAAGGGGGUGACAUUCAAAGCAAUUUUUGAUGACAACCUCAUAGCCAAAGGCAGACAAGAUCAGAAACAGGGGCAGCUGAAGCAAAACAAACACAACUGUGGUGAACAACUGCAAUGAGCCUUUCUGGAUAUAGGACACCUGUUCCACACAGGGAACAAAGAGCAGAAAACCAGGCCUGUGCUUCCCAUGGGGAAGCAAGUGAGCAGCAGCUGGGUCAUGGCUCCAAUGGCACCAUGGAGGUGGUUCAGCAUAGAGGUGGGCUUUCUGCCAUCAGUAGGCUUAGCAAGUGAUGCUAUAAGCCCAAAGUACCACAUUACUCAGGCUGUGUGAAGUCGGUGCAGACUUGGAAUAGCAGUGGUGGUGAAACCAAAGAUAACUGACUGCUCCCAGACAGUGCCUUGACGUAAGAAAGGAGUAGUCAGAAAAAGGCUCCUGCAUUUUUUUUCUGGUGUGGCAGAAAAGGAUCAGAAAAAGGUGUAAGAGAAGUCCAGAAGAUGCUCUCUAGCAGAGGAAAGGUAGCACAAGGUGGCCCACAAGUACCCCUCCAAUAGUAAUUACAUAGCUGUGGACAUUCUCAGUUCAGUCAGAGAGAAAAGUGACUGAAGAGAGAAGGUUUCUAACCAGGCAGAAGUCUGGGAAACAGUUGAGAAAGAAUGUAAAUAAUUCUUUAUCUCUCUUGUUGUUCACAUUGUUUAUAGAUAAGUUCUUCCACUGUGUGUCAUUUACUGCACACCCAAUGGCAUGAGCUGUUUUUACUCUACAACCAAUAGAAUGGGUCUAGACGAUACUCUCUAUAAAAGAGAGAUAUAUUUGAAAUAAAUCAGAGUUCCACUCUCAGACCUUCUGAUGUGGAGUCAUUUCACACCAUCCUGCCUCAACAGUGUCACAUAGGCAGGGUGAAAGUUGAGCUAGGUAGUACCUUGGUGCCACAGUAUACCCAGUAAACUACUUCACUGAGCUGCUGAUUUUGUUACAUGUUACUGCCAAAAUGAGUAAUUCAGGUUUUACUCAACUGUCUCCAUGUUGGUGCUCUGCAUGCAGUGCUUUCCAAUCUGCUGUCACCUUGGCCAGGGGUUAAGGACUGUUGCUGUCUCUGUGAAACUGGAAAGGCACAAUGAGAUUCUGGGAUGAAGGUGGGCACAGUGAGGUUGUGGUGGGCACAGGGUUCCUGGGAGCCCUGAGAGAACAGGGUGCUCAGGAAGGGUGCUCCCCUCCCAGCAGAGUCACAGCAGAGCAGAGGUUCCUCCAGCCUCCAGCCUGCUCAACACUGGAGGAUGUCUCUCUGGCCAGGCUGGGUGCUUAGAGAAGUGCAGAUCAACAACGGGAAAAAGCAGCUUUGGCCAACACUUCACCUCCCUCAGACAGCACCAGCCCACCACUAUCCUUGUGUCUUGCUGGCAGCACCUGAAGAAGUCAAAUGAAAUUCAAAGGCUAGAAGUCUGCCAGUGGGGAAGCAGCACUGUGCAUUAACCACCGUGAAUUA
This 7159-nucleotide long non-coding RNA is filed under the name Taeniopygia guttata (zebra finch). Its description in RNAcentral is "lncRNA (ENSTGUG00000029329.1)". Lineage: Eukaryota; Metazoa; Chordata; Aves; Passeriformes; Estrildidae. The record is from RNAcentral.